GACGAACGCUGGCGGCGUGCCUAAUACAUGCAAGUAGAACGCACAGUUUAUACCGUAGCUUGCUACACCAUAGACUGUGAGUUGCGAACGGGUGAGUAACGCGUAGGUAACCUGCCUGGUAGCGGGGGAUAACUAUUGGAAACGAUAGCUAAUACCGCAUAAUAUUAAUUAUUGCAUGGUAAUUAAUUGAAAGGUGCAAUUGCACCACUACCGGAUGGACCUGCGUUGUAUUAGCUAGUAGGUGAGGUAACGGCUCACCUAGGCGACGAUACAUAGCCGACCUGAGAGGGUGAUCGGCCACACUGGGACUGAGACACGGCCCAGACUCCUACGGGAGGCAGCAGUAGGGAAUCUUCGGCAAUGGACGAAAGUCUGACCGAGCAACGCCGCGUGAGUGAAGAAGGGUUUCGGAUCGUAAAGCUCUGUUGUAAGAGAAGAACGGGUGUGAGAGUGGAAAGUUCACACUGUGACGGUAUCUUACCAGAAAGGGACGGCUAACUACGUG
RNAcentral lists this ribosomal RNA (505 nucleotides) under uncultured bacterium. Its description in RNAcentral is "partial 16S ribosomal RNA". It matches the Rfam family "Bacterial small subunit ribosomal RNA", at positions 28 to 507 of the family's 1533-position model. The record is from RNAcentral.